This is a non-coding RNA of Pelobates cultripes (western spadefoot toad), 266 nucleotides long. The record is from the annotation of a GenBank genome assembly. Lineage: Eukaryota; Metazoa; Chordata; Amphibia; Anura; Pelobatidae.
GACAGGUGUCAAUCCAUAUCUGCCAAGUGACCCGAUGUUGGGGUAACAUUCCCUAUUCUGAUCUGUGUCAGUGUGUAUCAGGGAUCCUUAGGACAGGUGUCAAUCCAUAUCUGCCAAGUGACCCGAUGUUGGGGUAACAUUCCCUAUUCUGAUCUGUGUCAGUGUGUAUCAGGGAUCCUUAGGACAGGUGUCAAUCCAUAUCUGCCAAGUGACCCGAUGUUGGGGUAACAUUCCCUAUUCUGAUCUGUGUCAGUGUGUAUCAGGGG